Molecule: ribosomal RNA, 347 nt
Filed under: uncultured bacterium
Lineage: Bacteria
Description: partial 16S ribosomal RNA
Rfam family: Bacterial small subunit ribosomal RNA
Source: RNAcentral
CCUACGUGAGGCAGCAGUGGGGAAUAUUGCACAAUGGGGGAAACCCUGAUGCAGCGACGCCGCGUGAGUGAAGAAGGAAUUCGUUACGUAAAGCUCUAGCAGCAGGGAAGAAACACUGACCUUACGGUCAGCAGACGGUACCUGAGUAAGAAGCCCCGGCUAACUACGUGCCAGCAGCCGCGGUAAUACGUAGGGGGCAAGCGUUAUCCGGAUUUAAUGGGUGUAACGGGAGCGUAGACGGUGCGCCAAGUCUGGAGUGAAAGGCCGCAGCUUAACUGCGGAACUGCUUUGGAAACUGGCGAACUAGAGUGCGGGAGUGGUAAGCGGACUUCCUAGUGUCGCGGUGA